AGAGACAGCAGCCGCCGCGGUAUACGGAGGGGGCUAGCGUUGUUCGGAAUUACUGGGCGUAAAGCGCACGUAGGCUGCUUUGUAAGUCAGAGGUGAAAGCCCGGGGCUCAACCCCGGAUGUGCCUUUGAGACUGCAGGGCUAGAACGUCGGAGAGGUGAGUGGAAUUCCGAGUGUAGAGGUGAAAUUCGUAGAUAUUCGGAAGAACACCAGUGGCGAAGGCGGCUCACUGGACGACUGUUGACGCUGAGGUGCGAAAGCGUGGGGAGCAAACAGGAUUAGAUACCCCCGUAGUCCCUGUCUCUUAUACA
This 309-nucleotide ribosomal RNA is filed under the name uncultured bacterium. RNAcentral's name for it is "partial 16S ribosomal RNA". It matches the Rfam family "Bacterial small subunit ribosomal RNA", at positions 504 to 808 of the family's 1533-position model. The record is from RNAcentral.